AGCGAACGCUGGCGGCAGGCCUAACACAUGCAAGUCGAACGAACCUUUCGGGGUUAGUGGCGGACGGGUGAGUAACACGUGGGAACGUGCCUUUAGGUUCGGAAUAACUCAGGGAAACUUGUGCUAAUACCGAAUGUGCCCUUCGGGGGAAAGAUUUAUCGCCUUUAGAGCGGCCCGCGUCUGAUUAGCUAGUUGGUUGAGGUAAUGGCUCACCAAGGCGACGAUCAGUAGCUGGUCUGAGAGGAUGAUCAGCCACAUUGGGACUGAGACACGGCCCAAACUCCUACGGGAAGCAGCAGUGGGGAAUAUUGCGCAAUGGGCGAAAGCCUGACGCAGCCAUGCCGCGUGAAUGAUGAAGGUCUUAGGAUUGUAAAAUUCUUUCACCGGGGACGAUAAUGACGGUACCCGGAGAAGAAGCCCCGGCUAACUUCGUG
Molecule: ribosomal RNA, 434 nt
Filed under: uncultured bacterium
Lineage: Bacteria
Description: partial 16S ribosomal RNA
Rfam family: Bacterial small subunit ribosomal RNA
Source: RNAcentral